CCCGAAAUAGCUAUUUGGGGGAAAAGCGUUAGACUGAAGAUCUAAAGGUCCCGGUUCAAUCCCGGUUUCGGCA
Non-coding RNA from Trichonephila inaurata madagascariensis, 73 nucleotides. NCBI's taxonomy places the organism in Eukaryota, Metazoa, Arthropoda, Arachnida, Araneae, Nephilidae. The record is from the annotation of a GenBank genome assembly.